GGCGGCGUGCCUAAUACAUGCAAGUCGAGCGAGCUUGCCUAGAUGAAUUUGGUGCUUGCACCAAAUGAAACUAGAUACAAGCGAGCGGCGGACGGGUGAGUAACACGUGGGUAACCUGCCCAAGAGACUGGGAUAACACCUGGAAACAGAUGCUAAUACCGGAUAACAACACUAGACGCAUGUCUAGAGUUUAAAAGAUGGUUCUGCUAUCACUCUUGGAUGGACCUGCGGUGCAUUAGCUAGUUGGUAAGGUAACGGCUUACCAAGGCAAUGAUGCAUAGCCGAGUUGAGAGACUGAUCGGCCACAUUGGGACUGAGACACGGCCCAAACUCCUACGGGAGGCAGCAGUAGGGAAUCUUCCACAAUGGACGCAAGUCUGAUGGAGCAACGCCGCGUGAGUGAAGAAGGGUUUCGGCUCGUAAAGCUCUGUUGGUAGUGAAGAAAGAUAGAGGUAGUAAACUGGCC
This 466-nucleotide ribosomal RNA is filed under the name Lactobacillus gasseri. RNAcentral describes it as "bacterial SSU rRNA". It matches the Rfam family "Bacterial small subunit ribosomal RNA", at positions 38 to 470 of the family's 1533-position model. Lineage: Bacteria; Bacillati; Bacillota; Bacilli; Lactobacillales; Lactobacillaceae. The record is from RNAcentral.